Molecule: long non-coding RNA, 820 nt
Organism: Lotus japonicus
Lineage: Eukaryota; Viridiplantae; Streptophyta; Magnoliopsida; Fabales; Fabaceae
Exons: 2
Source: RefSeq, a predicted model, not a curated record
CACUAAGUUUAUGGGCCUCAGCCUUUAUGCAAACUAGGUGUCAUAUUAUGUAUAGAGUCAGACUCCCUAUUCUCUAUUGAACCAUAGUUGCGAGUCUUGUAGACCACUUUUCCCCUCCACAAUCAUGAUGUCGUCAUCCUCUUCCUCCCCCAUCAAGAUCUUAGUGGUAGAGAGGGGGAAGGUGAUGACAUCAUGAUUCUAGAGGGUGCACUUAUGCGCGACAUCUCAUUGCAAGUAGAUUCUUGAAGUUAUGAUUGUUGUCGUUAUACCUUGAAGACUGAAGAGAGCCACAAGGUGUUAUGACUAGACUAGGAGCGCCCUCCUAGUGAGGAAACACUUGGGUAUGGUGUAUGAUUGUACAUUUCUGAUUGUUGUGAACCAAAUUGCGGCUUGGAUUCAAGCACACCGACCUUCUUAAGGGUUAAGGGUGGUGGUUGGCUGAUUUCUUUUUGAUCUAGUUUGUGGGGUUUUGGGCUUGCUUCUCUAGUAGCUUCUUGAUGGGUUGGACUGUAUCGGUAUUUUAUUGUUUUUUAUGUGCUUGGGGUUUUCCCUCUUGUAGUCUUUUGGUCAUGAUUAUUGUGGGUGUCUUCUCUAGGCCUUGAUUAAUAUUGUGGGUGUCUUUACCCUUCUAUUUUCUAUGAUUGGUUGUAUAGUCGGGUCUUAAAGGUGUGUUUGUGCGUUUUCACUAGGAUGACCUUGGUUAGUUUUUUUUUUUUAAUUAUGUAUUCUUGUCUAUGACUUCAUAUAUACUAUUUUUGCUUUCAAAAAAAAAAUUAACUUUUUGAACUUGUGGCAAUUUAAAAUCAUCAAAAUUUGUAUC